GCAGGCAGCCAAUGAAUUAGCGUUGCUUGAUCGGGGAAGACUUCGCGGACUCCUUGCUCUUCCAAAAGCCCUCUUUAAUUAGCCGAGGGAGAAAGAGAGAGUUUUGAUCGCGAGGAUGUUCGAGCUCUUCGUGCUGGGCUGCACCGGCGUGGUGAUCUUCCUCCACGGAGCCAAUUUCUUCUUCCGCGCCCUCUCGCGCCGCCUCACCCCUCGAUCUCUCAGCUUCUUAGGAGUCGCUGAAUGGUAAUUUCGACGAGCUCGCACAAGAAGAUUGUAAGUUCUAUACUGAAUAAUUUCGAGAUUCAAUUGAUGACUCCAAGUGUGUAAUCUGUACAGUAUGUAGCUCUGAUCAUUCCAAUUUUAUGCGUGUUUUUUUUCC
Zingiber officinale is the source of this 379-nucleotide long non-coding RNA. RefSeq lists it as uncharacterized. The transcript is spliced from 2 exons. The record is from RefSeq and is a predicted model, not a curated record. Lineage: Eukaryota; Viridiplantae; Streptophyta; Magnoliopsida; Zingiberales; Zingiberaceae.